GAUGACAAGAGGCAGCACGGGGUGAAUGCAGGCACGGGGUGGCCCCCGAGGGACAUGUCACUGACAACGGAUGGGCAUCUGGCGCUUGGCUGGGGCAGGGGCGUCUGAAGAAAAACCGAGGGGCUUCGGUGUUGCUUUUAACAAGAUGUUCAGAAAAAAAAAGUAUCAGGCACACGUUGACUGCGCUUCCUCUGCUCCUUGCUUUGGAGGUGAUAUCGCUUGGUGCUUAUCAGCGACAACGUCUGCGGCAUCUGACUUGGCACCAGGAUGAGGCCCGGGAGUUUUAUCUGAGUAAAGGCUACUAGAUCCACUCUGAGGAUGCAGUAGAUUAAUUGAUCAUUUCUAGGGAGUCUGUUGGGAUGAAUCAAAAACCUUAAAAGCACUGGCAGCAUCUGUGAUAGGCCAUUAACAAGGCUGAUGGUGAUGAAGAAGCAAUGUGGCCUCGAUGCUGCUCAAACCCUACCAGCCCUGACCAGGAGCUGCAUGUGAGGCCUUCUUUUUCACCCGUGAAAGGGUGCCAAGCACAGCCCAGUCAGCAUUGUGAGCUCUCAUUUGUUACAUCUAAAGAGUAUUUUUAGAAGUGUGGAGAAUAUCUCUGCAUGUUUCAAAGUAUCAAUGCUAUUACACAGCCCAAAAUUACUUGACAGCUCAGAAAGCAAAAGCAAUUGAUACCCGAAUCCAGGUCUGCUCCGUAAGUGUUCACAUGUGCGAAACAAUAUGUGAUCCACAAAAACAUAUGGCUCUUGUAUCAAAUACAUGAAAUCAAGUUGAAUUAUGAAGACUUUGAAAACGUCCUCAGUUUAAAUGUACACGGCUCUCUGAAAUGUCCAGCUAAGUUUAAUGCAACAAUUAAAACCAGAUAGAUUGUCAGGAUUCAUAGACCAGGGAUAGAGUUAAUUCAGUAUGAAAGAAAUGAAUGACUGGAAAGAAGACAGAAGAACAGAAGUGGCAGGAAAAGAAUAAGAAUGAGUGGAGGGAUGAAAUGCUAGUAUGGGGGGGAAGGGAGAGUGAGGAAUAGAAGGGGGAAAGAAUGAAGUGAAAUUAACGAGAAAGAAAAACAUGAAAGAUGGAGAUGAGAUAGGAAAGAGGAGAGCAGCAAGAAAAAUAAUGACACUUUAUUGUGUCAUCUCUCAGCUUUUACUGUAGAAAAACUAAGCCUGUAGCAUGAAGGUUACUACUUAUGUAUUGAAAGUGCGUGGGAGGGUUUUUUUUCCAUAGUUAUAGAUAUAUAUGUGUGUGUCCAUGUAAUUACAUACAAAAAAUGACACAGAAAUUUCAGUCUUCCUGGGGAUCUCCCACUGUUCCCCAUACUCUCAGUUUUCCCACGCUGCCACAAUUCCAGCAGCAGUAAUGCCUUUUUCCAUGCAGUGCUGUGAGCCAGGACUUUCAGUUUGCUGGUUUUUUCUGUCCUGCCUUCUAAGAGCUGGAAAUGGGGGUUCUGGCUCCUCUGUCCUGCAGCCCCCAACUUUGGGGCUGUCCACUUAGAUACCACAGUUGUUUGCAAUUGCUGUUUCCUCCUGUUGAUACUCAUGGCAACAUUUUCAUUUUGCACUGACUGAUCCAAAAUAUAUCAACUGUUUUGUUGUUGAAUUAGUGUCAUUGUUUUUGCCUUGUCUGUUCCUGUGCAUGCAAGCUGCUAGUAAAACAGCAUAACUUUUCAUGCUUUUUAGGGCUGAAAGAGUCAUUGAGUGAUCUUGAAAUUAUCUAUUUGAUAAUUCAACAAUGCUAAAUAUUGACCACAAUCUCUCUGCCUUCUUUAAGAUAGGCCCUUUCUUACUGUAUCAUCAUCUUCUACCUUUGACUUGGGCACUACUGGGACCAUCAGUGGCAUAUCUUUGACUGAGAGUGUUUAUGCUCAUGGCCAGUAAACUGUGCUCUGUUAUUGUGUGGGGAAUAACACACUCAGCAAGCUAAACUGGAUUGCCCAUCCAUGUGGCUUCAGCAAGGCUGUCUUGGGGAGACAGAGGCAAUAGAUGAGGUUUCUGGCUUGGGUGUGACAUGCAUUUCUCUAGCCAGCUGGGGAUCCCAAGCAAUUGCUGAUGCCUGCUGCAGUGGGUGUGCUCCCAAACCUCCUGCAUCUGUCUGUCCAUGCAUUGGGCUGACUCUCCUCAUUAAACCAAAUACGCAUUUUCUGGAUCUUCUUUUCUUAACACGAGGUUCAUUUCAAAGCUGCCCAGGGUCCCUGCAUGUGCCCUUCUCUUGCUCGAGGUGAAACUGUGGCACCCACCACAUUUAGGGUGUUGAGGAUGGUGCAAAGUUUCCUUUCUUGCCCACUGAUAGGUUUGUUGCUGUAUGUCUCAUGCCUGUACCCUUACAGCCAGCUCCUGGGCUCGCACCGAUCCCUUUGGGUGUGCCAUUCCAGCUCCAGUUUGUCUUGCCUUAGACAUUCUCCUCAAGCUGUGAGGAAGGUCAGACUCCUUUAGUUUUCUCCCGCACACUGUGGAGAGUUUCCUCUUCUCCAUAGGUGUCCUCAGGUCCUCCCAUGAUUGUGUUUAUCCCUUGUCCCUCCAGGGAGGGCCACUUUAUGAGGAGUCCAAGGAUUUUGUGGUUCAGUGAUGGAUACUUUAUUUCGUGGCGCUGUUGGAAGUGGCAUUUCAGCAUUUUGUUAGUGACCUGCAUGCUUCACUCCUAUGCCCUGUCACAGUUGGCACUGUUCACCUUUUUCAGGUGUUCUAGUUUAAGCAUGGAUCCCGGGUUCCUUAACAGUACAUGGUUAAUCUGUAAUUCUUCUAAAACCAAAAUGGCCUCUGGCCAUUACUGGACUAUUUCUGAAUGUCUUUUCUGCUGGUUUGUGUAAAAAUCUGAGCUAAAUUUUGCCAUUCUCCCAUAUCAUUUCCCUGUUUCAUUUCUCGUCGUUCUAAUAAUCCUGUGACGAAGACAAGAAACAGAAACAUGGAUGUUUAACACUUAACAAUGUCUUAUUGUCUUACUGCUUUUGGAAAAGCAAAUGGAAGAGGAAAAACCUCACAUAGGGCUAUAAACAAAACAGAAGGAAGUGAGUUCACUGUCCACGGGAAAGCGCAGCUCUCCUGUGAAGGAGAUUUUUGUUUCAGUCAAGGGGAAAUGCACCACUGGUCUGGUACUGAGCAGUUCUUUUCAGCAGGCUGCAAUGCUGAAAAGAACUUGUCAGGAAACCCCACAUAUGUCAUGCGUACCUUGGGAGUCUUUCUGAUGGACAUGAGGCCUCUAGAGUCUGAGGCAGAAUCAGAGCCGCAUUGGAGAAUUGGGGACAAAAUAGUUAAAAGCUCCUUAAAAAUUCUACACACUUAGUGAUCUUUGUAAGAAUAGCAAAAACCUAGAUUACUUAAUGUCUCAAGUUUGAUAAAGCACAAAUAUGACUGAGUACCCUAAUUUUUUUCCUUUCCUCCAGAAGAUGGCAAAAGUUAGCUGCAUUUAACACAGGCAGAGGGAGGCAAAUGUUGCAGGGCUGUUCGUGCUAUGCCCUGGU
Long non-coding RNA from Corvus hawaiiensis (hawaiian crow), 3448 nucleotides. RefSeq lists it as uncharacterized. The transcript has 3 exons. The record is from RefSeq and is a predicted model, not a curated record. NCBI's taxonomy places the organism in Eukaryota, Metazoa, Chordata, Aves, Passeriformes, Corvidae.